RNAcentral lists this ribosomal RNA (482 nucleotides) under uncultured bacterium. RNAcentral's name for it is "partial 16S ribosomal RNA". It matches the Rfam family "Bacterial small subunit ribosomal RNA", at positions 28 to 507 of the family's 1533-position model. The record is from RNAcentral.
GAUGAACGCUAGCGGCAGGCCUAAUACAUGCAAGUCGAACGAGAUUAAGGGGCUUGCUUCUUAUGAAAGUGGCGCACGGGUGCGUAACGCGUAUGCAACCUACCUUAAUCAGGGGGAUAGCCCGAAGAAAUUCGGAUUAAGACCGCAUAAAAACACAGGAUAGCAUUAUCCAAUGUUCAAAUAUUUAUAGGAUUAAGAUGGGCAUGCGUGUCAUUAGCUAGUUGGCGGGGUAACGGCCCACCAAGGCGACGAUGACUAGGGGAUCUGAGAGGAUGACCCCCCACACUGGUACUGAGACACGGACCAGACUCCUACGGGAGGCAGCAGUAAGGAAUAUUGGUCAAUGGAGGGAACUCUGAACCAGCCAUGCCGCGUGCAGGAAGACAGCCCUCUGGGUCGUAAACUGCUUUUAUUCGGGAAUAAACCUUUCUACGUGUAGGAAGCUGAAUGUACCGAAGGAAUAAGGAUCGGCUAACUCCGUG